GAUGAAGAACGCAGUGAAAUGCGAUAAGUAAUGAGAAUUGCAGAAUUCAGUGAAUCAUCGAAUCUUUGAACGCACAUUGCGCCCCUUGGUAUUCCGAGGGGCAUGCCUGUUCGAGCGUCAUAUUAACCACUCCCGCUUGCGGGGUCUUGGGCUUCGCCUCCGGGCGGGCCUUAAAAUCAGUGGCGGUGCCGUCGGGCUCUACGCGUAGUAAAUUUUCUCGCGAUAGGGUCCCGGUGGAUGCUUGCCAACAACCCCCAACUUCUUAAGGUUGACCUCGGAUCAGGUAGGGAUACCCGCUGAACUUAAGCAUAUCAAUAAGCGGAGGA
This 326-nucleotide unclassified non-coding RNA is filed under the name soil metagenome. RNAcentral describes it as "partial contains 5.8S ribosomal RNA, internal transcribed spacer 2, and large subunit ribosomal RNA". The stretch from base 1 to 120 matches the Rfam family "5.8S ribosomal RNA", at positions 35 to 154 of the family's 154-position model. The record is from RNAcentral.